RNAcentral lists this ribosomal RNA (590 nucleotides) under Pavlova sp. RCC2551. RNAcentral describes it as "SSU rRNA". It matches the Rfam family "Eukaryotic small subunit ribosomal RNA", at positions 627 to 1229 of the family's 1831-position model. Lineage: Eukaryota; Haptophyta; Pavlovophyceae; Pavlovales; Pavlovaceae. The record is from RNAcentral.
CUCGUAGUCGGAUUUCGGGUUUGUCCGCGCGGUCUGCCGUUGGGUAUGCACUGCGUGUGACUUAUCUUUUUCGGGGCAGCGCGCGUUGCUUAAUUGUGGCGUGUGUCUCCUCGCUUUUACUUUGAGAAAAUCAGAGUGUUCAAAGCAGGCCUUUGCCAUUGUAUGUGUUAGCAUGGGAUAAUGGAAUAGGACUCUGGUGCUAUUUUGUUGGUUUCGAACGCCGGGGUAAUGAUUAAUAGGGAUAGUCAGGGGCACUCGUAUUCCGUAAAGAGAGGUGAAAUUCUUAGACCCACGGAAGACGCACUACUGCGAAAGCAUUUGCCAGGGAUGUUUUCACUGAUCAAGAACGAAAGUUAGGGGAUCGAAGAUGAUCAGAUACCGUCGUAGUCUUAACCAUAAACCAUGCCGACCAGGGAUUGGUGGGUGUCGUUUUGACUCCAUCAGCACCUUUCGAGAAAUCAGAGUCUUUGGGUUCCGGGGGGAGUAUGGUCGCAAGGCUGAAACUUAAAGGAAUUGACGGAAGGGCACCACCAGGCGUGGAGCCUGCGGCUUAAUUUGACUCAACACGGGGAAACUUACCAGGUCCAGAC